Non-coding RNA from Labrus bergylta (ballan wrasse), 675 nucleotides. NCBI's taxonomy places the organism in Eukaryota, Metazoa, Chordata, Actinopteri, Labriformes, Labridae. The record is from RefSeq and is a predicted model, not a curated record.
CGCUGACCUGUGGGGCACAGCUUCCCCUCACCUUGACCUUCACACUGACAUUCACCUGGGACCAAAAGAGAAACAAAAAAUAGCAAGGUGUUGUGGUCCAGUUUCCAGCCUGGAUCACAGCUGGCCUCUGUGAGUCCGUUUCGACAUGCACAAUCGCACGUGGACUCGUCCAGAACCCUGUUGGGCCCGCAGAGCGCUAGGAGACCUGAGUCCAGCGCCUCUGGAAACCACAUGGAAAGAAAAAAUAUCAUCCUGAAUCAUCUGCUGUAACAUCCAAACACUCUGAGGGCAAAUCAGUUACUGACAACUGUAAAAUAAAUUACGGGGAUGUCAGACAGACAAUCAGACGGGGAAAGAAGAAGAGGAGAGACAGACAGGAGGCCGACAUCAAGACGAGGAGGAGGAGGAGGAGGAAGAGGGAGAAAGAGGUGUGUCUGGGAAAUGCUCGAAUGAGAAAACAUCCGAUUUUUGGGCCAGUCACCGCCAGCCUUCUUCAAGGAUUAAAGACGCACACUCUCAUGCACGCACAUGUCGGCAAGUUUCUGCUUGCAGUAUGCUUUAUGUGUUGAAAUCCUCACAACCAAGCUCCACAUUCCAGUCAUUGCUUUCUCAAUUUCAUCAUGUGAGCAGGAUGCAUAGAAUAAGAGAUGAUACAGAGGGGCUUUUAUGACCAGU